RNAcentral lists this ribosomal RNA (610 nucleotides) under Nezara mendax. RNAcentral's name for it is "partial large subunit ribosomal RNA". It matches the Rfam family "Bacterial large subunit ribosomal RNA", at positions 1764 to 2641 of the family's 2925-position model. The record is from RNAcentral. Lineage: Eukaryota; Metazoa; Arthropoda; Insecta; Hemiptera; Pentatomidae.
UUACACUUCUAGGCCCCUUUCCCCCCCGCCUGUUUUUUCAAAAACAUGUCUUGAUGAUUUUUAUUUAUUAAGUCUAUCCUGCUCAAUGAUUUAUUAUUAAAUAGCCGCAGUAUCUUGACUGUGCGAAGGUAGCAUAAUCAUUUGUCUUUUAAUUAAAGGCUUGUAUGAAUGGUUGGAUGAGGGAAUUACUUUCUUUAUAUUAAAAAUUGAAUUUAAUUUUUAAGUUAAAAAGCUUAAAUUUUUAAGUGGGACGAGAACACCCUAUAGAAUUUUAUUAUAAGUUUUAUAUUUAAUUUAUGGUUAUUUUUAUUAUUUAUAUGUCUUAUAAUUUUAUUGGGGUGAUAUUGAGAUUAAAAAAACUCUCAUAACUUAAUAUUUAAUUAUUUUUAUUUUGUUAGGAUCCUAUUUUAUGGAUAUUUAGAUUAAAUUACCUUAGGGAUAACAGCGUAAUUUUUCUGGAGAGUUCUUAUCGAUGGAAAAGUUUGCGACCUCGAUGUUGGAUUAAAACUAGAUUUAAGUGCAGACAGCUUAAAGUUCUAGGUCUGUUCGACCUUUAAAUUUUUACAUGAUCUGAGUUUCAACCGGGAUAAAAUAUUUAAUUAAAGUCUAU